Molecule: long non-coding RNA, 786 nt
Filed under: Anser cygnoides (Swan goose)
Lineage: Eukaryota; Metazoa; Chordata; Aves; Anseriformes; Anatidae
Description: lncRNA (ENSACDG00005016710.1)
Source: RNAcentral
CACUCACACUGUUUGUCUCUCCAUUUCAUUUCUCACCCUUUCUCACUCCUUUCUUUUUCCUCACAAUUUCCAUUUUUAUUUCUGGUCUUUCUUCAUUUUCUCUUUCACAAUCACCCUUCCCGACAACGUCCAUGUCUCCUCCCUCCCCUCUACCACGUGAAACGACCCCUUUCUACUUCUUUCAUCCUCCCAGGAACCGUUUCUUGCUUUGUUUUCCCACAGGGUGUGUGGGGAUCUGGCGUGCAGCUGGGAGAUCCCGGCAGGGCUGGCUCCAGACAGGAACGAGGCGUCUGCGGGAAGGAGCGAGAAGAAGAGGAGGAUGAGGCUGUUGAUGGUGAGGAAGCAGCCGCCCACAACCAGGAGCCGUAGAAGAAGGAAGCAGCUCUUCCCUGCAAGAGGGUGGGACAGGCAUUCUGCUCAGGUCCUGAGUGCUGAACACCCAAAGACUUUCCCCGCUUGCUUGGCUCUGCAGGAGGCACUGAGAAAUUUGGGAACAAUGGCUCGGGAGGCCAAGGAGAGGCUGCUGAGCCAUAAAGACACGGCUUGGCUUGUGAAGGACGGGAUCCACCUCUCAGGCUUUUUUUCCUCAUACUUGCAGGGAGGACCUCUUGGCCAUCCCUGUAGAAGUGAAACCUCCGUACAGUGGCGUCUCCAGGGGCCUUACAGAUGAUGCUCAGGAGAUCUCCUGCCAUCACCUCUCCCAGCGGGGACUCCACCAUCAGCAGGGGCUGGGGAAGGUGGUCUGAGAAAAGGGGAGGAAUAAAUGGAGACGUAGCAAUAAGGACA